CUAGUAACGGCCGCCAGUGUGCUGGAAUUCGCCCUUCGGUGUGUACAAGGCCCGGGAACGUAUUCACCGCGCCAUGGCUGAUGCGCGAUUACUAGCGAAUCCAGCUUCACGGAGUCGGGUUGCAGACUCCGAUCCGAACUGAGACGUGGUUUGGGGAUUCGCUCCCUGUCGCCAGGUGGCUUCCCUUUGUCCACGCCAUUGUAACACGUGUGUCGCCCCGGAUGUAAGGGCCGUGCUGAUUUGACGUCAUCCCCGCCUUCCUCGCAGCUUACGCUGGCAGUCCCACCAGAGUCCUCAGCCUAACCUGUUAGUAACUAGUGGCAAGGGUUGCGCUCGUUAUGGCACUUAAGCCGACACCUCACGGCACGAGCUGACGACAACCAUGCAGCACCUCGCAAACGGCUAUUGCUAGAAAAGGUGUUUCCACCUCGGUCCGAAUGCGUUCAAACCCGGGUAAGGUUCCUCGCGUAUCAUCGAAUUAAACCACAUGUUCCUCCGCUUGUGCGGGCCCCCGUCAAUUCCUUUGAGUUUCACCGUUGCCGGCGUACUCCCCAGGUGGAUCACUUAACGCUUUCGCUGUGCCGCUUACAAUGUAUCGCAAACAGCUAGUGAUCAUCGUUUACUGCGUGGACUACCAGGGUAUCUAAUCCUGUUUGAUCCCCACGCUUUCGUGCAUCAGCGUCAGUCAUGGCUUGGCAGGCUGCCUUCGCAAUCGGGGUUCUGCGUGAUAUCUAAGCAUUUCACCGCUACACCACGCAUUCCGCCUGCCUCAAACAUACUCAAGCCUCCCAGUUUCAACGGCAAUUCUAUGGUUGAGCCACAGACUUUCACCGCUGACUUAAAAGGCCGCCUACGCACCCUUUAAACCCAAUAAAUCCGGAUAACGCUCGGAUCCUCCGUAUUACCGCGGCUGCUGGCACGGAGUUAGCCGAUCCUUAUUCAUAAGGUACAUACAAAAUAGGACACGUCCCACACUUUAUUCCCUUAUAAAAAGAGGUUUACGAUCCAUAGAACCUUCAUCCCUCACGCGACUUGGCUGGUUCAGGCUCGCGCCCAUUGACCAAUAUUCCUCACUGCUG
Molecule: ribosomal RNA, 1079 nt
Filed under: uncultured bacterium
Lineage: Bacteria
Description: partial 16S ribosomal RNA
Source: RNAcentral